AGCCCGUUCCCACCUUCAAUUGCUUCGCUUUUCUCUAGUCACAUCGACCUAGAUGUAGAGGAAGACCAACAAAUGGAGUCGUUUGACCAUAUGAUGUCUCACUCCGUCACUGCUUAUGUGUGUUUCUUGCGUGAUAGAUGCGGAAGCGAUAGGUAGGUAAGCAAGGCGGAGGGUCGGGUGGCUCUAGCACUCCGGCGGCAAAGACAGGCCACCCUUUUAGAAGCGUUGAUACAACUGACUGGCGAUCGGUCACCACUACCACUAAUCUCCUUCUUCCACCGUUGCUUACGGUGUUCUCUUUUUCCUCUCCCAAUGAAAUUCAUUCUUUACAGGCAUCCCUUUUGAUCUUCCAACUUUUAUCUCUCCGUCUAUUCCACACUAUCUGGGUUUAUUUCCGGAUCUGACUUCAUUUUUUUUGUUCGUUUCCGACUUCUUGGGGUUUAUCCUUCCGCCUUGUCGUCAAGUGAGGGUUUAUCGAUUAAUUUUACCGUCCGUUUUUCAUUUCGAUUUUCUCCAUAAGGGUAACGUUUCACUUAAGGAUUUAUUUUCCCUUUUUUGAAAUCGCAAUUGGACUUGAAUGGCUGCUGGUCACCAGAUAUAUAAUAAUCUACUUCUUGUCUGAUGGGUCUAUUUCUUUUUCUUUUAUUUGAUUGGUUUUGAUUUCUGUUUGCUUAAGUAGCUUUCAGACCAUCAGCAAGAACAACUGUAGUCUCUACCUGUGGAGCUUUGGGAAUCAUGAAGAGAUAACGUCGAAGUUAUCAACGUCUCUCAAUUCCUGUGGAUAAAAACCCUCAAGGCAGCUUCAGUCGAGGACAUGAUUCAUAUAAGAGCAUCGUCUUCCUUUUUAUGACUUUCAAAUUUCAGUUCUUAUCCUUAUGGCACCAUAUUUGUGCUUAUGUUGGCUUUUUUUUUGGGCUGUUUGAAUCUCAGAUUGUUAAUGACUUCAUUUGAAGAUCAUUGAGCUUAGGAUUCCAGUUUGUUAAUAGGGUGAUAAAGGUAUUGGAAGAAUCUGGAAUCGUAUGCUAAGUUUGAUUAGACGUUGAAACAUUUUCCCACCAACUGUUUGUUAAAUUUUUUACUGAAUUCUCAUAUUUUUAUGUGGUUUGUAACUGAUACUGAUCAUUUAUUGGUUUAUGAGAUUUAUUCAAAUAAAGAAAUCAAAGAAUAAAAUAUUGGUUUUUGUUUUUGAAUCCCAGGUACACCUUUGGCAAAUGUUAUUUUUUGGAGCGAGCUUUUGACUGAUACUAUUAAGGUUAGUAAUAUAAUAUUGCACAUAAAAAUUGAUUAAUUGUUUGCGUAUUAGAUUUGUGAUUUUCUUUGUGGUUAUUCACUUGUUUGUAUAAAUAAGAUUUAAGGGCCUUACGAGGCUAAGUGUAUUCUUUCAUGGAAAUUGAAAUGAUGAUAAGUAAGAUGUGCUAUGUGCGAGAAAUGGUCUGGUAUAAUUAAAGUGAUGAUCCUCCGAUGAACACGUAACAAUUUAGUUUUUUUUAUUGAGAAAAUCAACAUACGGUGUUGUCGAAUACUUUCCACAGGUAUAGUUUCAGUAUAUAUACUUAUUGCAUUAUAAUUUUGGAAUUUAAAUGUUUUAAACUUUUUAAUUCUUUUUUCAAACGUAUAAUCAGAGGCUAAGUGUAUUCUUUCAUCACAAUUCUAACAUUUUUGUUUAUUAUUCUUAAAACAUUGUUUUUGAGCUUGAUAUGUUUAAGUAGUUUGAGUUUUCUUGACCGUUGGAGCUAUCUUAAAUAUAGUUUUUUUUUUUUUUUCUACUUUUACUUUUGAAGUACUAGCUUCAUUCUUUUAUCAAGAUGGUCAUAACACGAGGAUCUUUUUAAUUAUAAGGAUUCAUUAUUAUUAUCAAGAUGGUCAAACCACCUGGUGGUCGUGUUGUAGAAGAAUGAAGACAAAAUAGUCGUGAAAAAGGCCAUCGUCAUGUCAUUACGACUAACCUGUCAUGUCGUAAUGAACGCACUAAACAACUUAAUGCCUUGUGCUCUUAAUCCUUCAAGCCAAGCAAACAAGGUUUCAAUAAGGCUUUCUCCAUCUCAAAAUACUAUAAAAUUCAUAGUUGUUUUGAUAUACAUAUCCAAGGCAUGUUCUAAACACCAGCUAGGUCAAAAUGAAUGGAAAAUGAGAUCAACUCUCAUGUAUAGAACUCAAAGCUCACUAGUAUUAUAGAUCUAGGACAAAGGGAUAAAAGGGAGUGUCAAGAACUCAUAAAUUUGUGAACUUUAUAAGUUUCCAACACUCAAACACCCUCAAAAAGUGAGAAAAAUGAACCAAACCCUAAAUCUAAAAUGCUUGAGAAAAAAAGAUAGGAACUUGAGGACUUACAAGAGCCCUAAUGUAACUCAAGAUGAUGAGGGAGUGGCUCUCUAGCGGAGAUGAUGUACCAAUAUUCCUUAUCUUUUUCUUCAAGGCUUCAAAUUACCCAAAAAAAGGGCUUAGAGAUCAAAUACGGAGGAUUAGGAUUUCUUCAAGGAGAAGGGAAGUGAAAGAGGUUGAGGUUGUGUAAACCCUAGCCGCUCACUUCCCUUAAAUAUGGGACAACUUCGAAAUUAGGGUUUUUCACGCAAAGGUUGUCACGUCGUGACCAGCAUGUGUGUCACGUCGUGAGAGCCAAUAAGAUGCGUGUUCCUCAUCGAGCACCGUCAGUCGUGACACAAAUGUACUCACGUCAUAACUAAGGAUUCAAUCCUUAAAAGCUAAAUAAUUAUUCAAAGGUGAUGCUUACCUUGAACUGGGUGUUACAAUUCUCGCCCACUUGAACUAGAUUUCGUCGUCGAAAUCCUCAGCUACAAAUAGAUAUGGUUAGUGCUCGUGCAUCUCUGACUUGGGCUCCUAAGUCCACUAGGAACCCUUCUGAUUCUGCCAUUAAACGUUGACUAAGGGCACCACCUUUUUAUGCAAGGCCUUCUUCUUCUUAUCCAGAAUAGCCAUCGGCUUCUCCACAUAAUUCAAGUGCUUAUACACCUGAAUGUCAUAUAUUGGGACCACCGCUAUAUCAUCAACCAAGGACUUCCGAAGCUGAAAUACAUGGAUGGUAAUAUGAAUCUGACUAAGCUCCUCAUGCAAAUCCAACCGAUAGGCCACUUUGCCUAUCCUUGCCACUACUCCUAAAGGUAUGAUAAAUCGGGGGCCAAACUUGACCUUCUUCCUGAAGCGUAUAACACCCUUCCAUGAUGAUAUCUUUAGUAGAACCACGUCCCUAACCUGAAGAUCCAACUCAGGCCUUUGCCUAUCAGUGUAACUAUUAUGCCGGCUCUUGCUAUCUAUAACCUCUGCCUGAUUUGAUGAAUAAGUUUUUUCGUUUGGAGAACCACCUGAAUCCUCCUUAUUACCCUAUGACAGACCUCUCCCUGAUAAAUUGGAGUACGACACUUCCUCCCAUAUAAAAGCAUGUACGGAGGUGCACCAAUGUUGGAAUGAUAGAUGUUGUUGUAAGAAAAUUCAGCUAGGGGAGGUAUGAGUCCCACCUCCUACCGAAAUCAAUGACACAAGCCUUGAACAUAUCCUCGAGUGUAUGAAUAGUCAACUCACUCUGGUCAUUAGUCUGACGGUGAUAACUGGUGCAGAAGUGUAGUCUCGUACCUUACUACUCGUGAAAACUUUUUCCCUUGGCACACAACACACGACUGGAUUUCCUCGGGUUUGUUUGCCUAUAGCACAAAGUCGUACCUCCUCAAACCAACCGCAUUAUGUCGACAUAUACAAGCAGAUAAACAAUAGCCAUCAAUACAGAUAAUCAUACAAAUUUACCAAUCUAACAUAUUACUUUAUUAUACCAAUUUCCAAUACAAAAUGACACAUACAUCAAUAUAAAGUAUAAUGAGAAAACUCACCUUCCAGCCUAGAUGAUAUGAACACUGAUCACAGAUCCUAUAACCAACACUACAUGUCACUUAUACAUCAAAUAAGGACCACAUCUCAAAACUACAACCCAAAACCCAAAACUUGACUUGAAGUCAAACCUAGUCUAAAAGUCAAUGGUCAAUGUCAAAGUCAACACUCAAGAGUUAUUCAGCUAGUUGCCACAUCGUGACCCCCUGUUGGUCACAUCAUGGCAGAAUGAAGACAAAGUGGUCAUCAAAACAUGGCAUCGUCACGUUACUCCGACCAACUCGUCACGUCAUGAAUAACAAACUGAACAACUUAAUGUCUUACGCUCCUAAUCCUACAAGCCAAGCAACCAAACUUUCCAAAAGGCUUUCUCUAUCUCAAACUACCAGACAUGCAUGUCCAAUGAAUGUCCUAAACACCAACUACGUCAAAAUGAAAGGAAAAUGAAAUCAAAUCCCACGUAUGGAACCCAAAGCUCACUAAUAUUCCAUAUAUGGGAAAAUGGAUACAAGGGAGUCACAAGAACUAAUAAAAUUGUCAACUUCAUGAGUUUUCAACACUCAAACUCCCUCAAAAGGUGAGGAAAGUGAACCAAACCCUACAUCUAACAUGCUUGAUCUAAAAAGACAGGAACUUGAGGACAUACAUGAGUCCUAAUACAACUCAAGAUGAUGAGGGAGUGGCUUCCUAGCUGAGAUGAUGCACAAAAAUGCCUUCUCUUCUUCUUCUUCUUCUUCUAGUAUUCAAAUCAUCAAAAAAGGGCUCAAAGAUCAAAUAUGGAAGAAUAGGGUUUCUUGUGGGAGAAUGGAUGUGAUGGAGGUUGAUGGUGUGCAAACACUAGCCCCUAACUUUCCUUAAAUGGGGGACCAACCUCAAAAUUAUGGUUUUCCAUGCAAAGGCUAUCACGUCGUGACCAACAUAUGUGUCACGUCGUGAUAACCAAUGAGAUUGGCGUUCCUCACGGGGCAACGUCCUGUCAUGACAAAAAUGUGCUCAUGUCAUGACUAAGGCUUCCAUCCUUAAAACACAAAUAAUUAUUUAGAAGUGAUGCUUAAACGGGUGUUACAUGAUAAGUUAUUGGUGUGAAUUAUAUAUCGACAUAAAAUUUUAUAUAGGAUAAUGAUUAUAUUAUAACACAAAUUAGGGGAUAUGCUUGUCUGAACAUGGACGUGAGGAUAAUGAGCUUGAAAAUGACAAACACCUAAUCAUAGAUACUAUUCUAAACAACAUAAAAUCAUAUAUAUAUAUAUANAUAUAUAUAUAUAUAUAUGACAUCCCCAAAUUAACGAUCAUUUUAAAAUUUUAAUUUAUGCUUAUUUUAAAAUCAGAGUAUCAUUUUUAAAGAACAAUGUUGCAAAAUUUGUUCCCAAAAAAAACAUGAUAAAUAUGUUAUCAAAUCAUUUCCAAAGAAAUGUAUUUUAUUUAUUCUAAAACUUUGGGAUGUCAUCGUCACUACAAAAGCAUAAACAUAAACAGAACUUACAUUCAUUUACACUAGUGAUCUACAUCUCUUUAAUCUCCCGGUGUAGUGUAGCUUUAUAUCGACACCUGUGAUAGAAAUAAAUUGAGAGGGUCAGGUUGGGAAACCUGGUGAGUACAUAGAGUUUUCAACCCACAAUAAUAAAGUUAUUAUGUUUAAUCAUCAAAAAAUAAACCCAAUUACACAUUGUCAAUAUCUUCUUUAUUUUUAAGUAUCUUCCCUAAGAAUCAUCUAUUCCUCAUUAUAUAUUCCUAAGGAUUGUCCUAAAGAAUGGGCACGAAGUCCAUUGUUGUCAGGGUUUGUAUAACAAGCACUAAGUCUAUAGUUGCAAAGGCUCAUCUAACCGACACUAAGUCCAUAGCUGUCAGGGUUUAUCUCAUUUAUUGAUUGUAUUAUUUUAGGGAGUCCACCCACAAUACAGGUCAAUGGGUUUUUAGAGUACCCAGGGUGAGGACAUCGUUCACAAAACCCACAAGUUGUGAGCCUGCUAGUGUUCCACUAGACUCUCUAGAAUAGUCUGUGGUUGUUAUAUGUAGUCUGCUAGAUGACAAGACCAUCGCUUUGGUCAUUGCUUGGGUCAUCGCUUGGGUCAUCGGUUCUCACUAUUAUUUACCACUCAUAUAUCAUCGCUCAUCAUUCAUCUCAAUCUACCCAUCUUUGACCUGUCAUAAUUAUAGGUAUAAAAUACAUAUACAGUUUAAAACAAUUAAAACAUGUAUAUUUUUGUUCAUCCAACAUAAAUAUUAAGUACACAUAUAAUAUGCACACAUAGCAUGAAAUUUAUAUUAAAUACUUCAUAUCUAUGUGUAAGAUAAAAGUAACUAUAUGCUCACUUGUUAAAGUGAUGACUCCAAACUUGGACAGCGCUCCGCUUCUUAAUAUAAUUUCCUUCGAUGAAACUAAAUAUUAUUACCACUAGAUUUUAGUCUAAUGUUUCUCAUGACUAAUUACUAGUUUUAGUAUUAUUAUUUAUAUAAGUGUUUGGCAAUGCUUUUCAACCACUAUGUACAGACAAGGCUAGACAUAAAACACCAGAGGGCAGGACCAUCUUGGCAUAUAGCACUUAUGAAAUCCAACAAGCCUAUACGGCCCUUUAAACCAGAUUCCCUAUACGGCGAGUAGUUAAAAACUAUAUAUUAACACUUUUUAUUUAUAUANNNNNNNNNNNNNNNNNNNNNNNNNNNNNNNNNNNNNNNNNNNNNNNNNNNNCAUUGAUGAAUCUUUCUAAAAAGAUUCUUGAAGCGCUUCUAUGCUCAUCUUCCCAUACUAAAACUACAAAAAGAGAAGUCAAAUCACGAGGGACCGAAAUGCUCGGGAGAUAAGAAGAGAAAGACUCUUGAAUCAAGAGAAUGGUGCAAGAAGUAGGAGAGCCUAGAGGCUCUUAUUUAUAGUAAUUAAAUUUUCAAAAAUUAUCCUGUAUAGUUACUUAAUGACCUUAUAGUUAUAUAAACGACCAAACACCCCUUUAUAAUACAAUUUUUAAUAGAUUUAAUGAUAUUUAUACUAAACUAAUGUCGAAAGUCCUCAACACUAGUCUUAUAACGACCGCAUCGUCGAUACCUUUAUAUGCAUAUAUANNNNNNNNNNNNNNNNNNNNNNNNNNNNNNNNNNNNNNNNNNNNNNNNNNNNNNNNNNNNNNNNNNNNNNNNNNNNNNNNNNNNNNNNNNNNNNNNNNNNNNNNNNNNNNAUAUAUAUAUAUAUAUAUAUAUAUAUACACAUGUAUAUAUGAUUUAUACUUUAUUUUAAUAUGUAAAUAUGCUAUUAUAAUUUAUAACUCAUUCAUAGUAACUCUGUUUUUGACGUUCUUUAUAUUUUUAUUUUUCAUCAAUAUUUUUAUAAAAUUAAAUGACUUUGCUAAAAUCAUAACUCUCUCAAACGGACUCAAUUUGUGGCAUUCUUUUUCUCAACAUUCCUAUUUUAAGGAAUACUAUGAUUUACGUUUUGGUGUCAUUAGCUAAAAGUCAACCAUUCUCUUUGUAGCUUUUUAUGUCACAUAUUCCUUGUGUGCGGGUGACUUUUAUAUCUUAUAAAAAUAAUAUCUAAUUCAUAAGGAUUCACAUUUCGAAGAAAUUUAUAUUUUAGGGAUCGGAAAAGACGUGAUAUUCGCCGCAUCACGUGGGACGACAUAAUUAUAAUUAAUAUAUAAAUUGUAGGUGUUGUAUAUUCAAAUUAUAGUCUUUCAUAAAAUUACU
RNAcentral lists this long non-coding RNA (7509 nucleotides) under Lactuca sativa (garden lettuce). RNAcentral describes it as "long non-coding RNA (LSAT_LNC008670)". The record is from RNAcentral. Lineage: Eukaryota; Viridiplantae; Streptophyta; Magnoliopsida; Asterales; Asteraceae.